RNAcentral lists this ribosomal RNA (752 nucleotides) under uncultured Comamonadaceae bacterium. Its description in RNAcentral is "bacterial SSU rRNA". It matches the Rfam family "Bacterial small subunit ribosomal RNA", at positions 28 to 776 of the family's 1533-position model. The record is from RNAcentral. Lineage: Bacteria; Pseudomonadati; Pseudomonadota; Betaproteobacteria; Burkholderiales; Comamonadaceae.
AUUGAACGCGGCGGCAUGCCUUACACAUGCAAGUCGAACGGCAGCACGGGAGCAAUCUUGGUGGCGAGUGGCGAACGGGUGAGUAAUACAUCGGAACGUGCCCAAUCGUGGGGGAUAACGCAGCGAAAGCUGUGCUAAUACCGCAUACGAUCUACGGAUGAAAGCAGGGGAUCGCAAGACCUUGCGCGAAUGGAGCGGCCGAUGGCAGAUUAGGUAGUUGGUGAGGUAAAGGCUCACCAAGCCGUCGAUCUGUAGCUGGUCUGAGAGGACGACCAGCCACACUGGGACUGAGACACGGCCCAGACUCCUACGGGAGGCAGCAGUGGGGAAUUUUGGACAAUGGGCGAAAGCCUGAUCCAGCCAUGCCGCGUGCAGGAUGAAGGCCUUCGGGUUGUAAACUGCUUUUGUACGGAACGAAACGGCCUUUUCUAAUAAAGAGGGCUAAUGACGGUACCGUAAGAAUAAGCACCGGCUAACUACGUGCCAGCAGCCGCGGUAAUACGUAGGGUGCAAGCGUUAAUCGGAAUUACUGGGCGUAAAGCGUGCGCAGGCGGUUAUGUAAGACAGUUGUGAAAUCCCCGGGCUCAACCUGGGAACUGCAUCUGUGACUGCAUAGCUAGAGUACGGUAGAGGGGGAUGGAAUUCCGCGUGUAGCAGUGAAAUGCGUAGAUAUGCGGAGGAACACCGAUGGCGAAGGCAAUCCCCUGGACCUGUACUGACGCUCAUGCACGAAAGCGUGGGGAGCAAACAGG